RNAcentral lists this unclassified non-coding RNA (2121 nucleotides) under Hevea brasiliensis (rubber tree). The record is from RNAcentral. Lineage: Eukaryota; Viridiplantae; Streptophyta; Magnoliopsida; Malpighiales; Euphorbiaceae.
CUCAGAAAUUUCGUAACUCUUACAUCAUUGAAAAUAAGUUAAACCCUAAAACCAAAAACCCUAAGCUAUGAAGGUCAAAGUAAUAUCACGCUCCACUGAUGAAUUCACUCGAGAACGAAGCCAAGAUCUUCAGAGAGUUUUUCGAAAUUUUGAUCCGAACCUUCGACCCCAAGAGAAAGCUAUCGAGUAUGUUCGGGCACUUAACGCCGCCAAAUUGGAGAAGAUAUUUGCGAGACCGUUCAUUGGAGCAAUGGAUGGGCACAUUGAUGCUGUUUCAUGUAUGGCAAAAAAUCCAAAUUACUUGAAAGGGAUAUUUUCUGGUUCUAUGGAUGGAGAUAUUCGCCUGUGGGACAUGGCUUCCAGGAGAACAGUCUGUCAGUUUCCUGGUCAUCAAGGUGCUGUACGAGGUUUGGCAGCCUCUACAGAUGGGCGCACUCUGGUAUCUUGUGGAACCGAUUGCACUGUAAGACUUUGGAAUGUUCCAGUAGCUACUAUUGUGGAAUCAGAUGACUCUUCUAACUGUUCAGCAGAGGUAUUGCUUUCUUCAUCUAGUAAUAUGUUGUCUGUUGAAUCAAUUCUUCUCUCUUAACCUGCUGAUCAAAUAUAUAUUUUUGCAGCCAUUGGCAGUUUAUUCUGGGAAUAAUGCAUUUUGGUAAUGAUAUUAGUUAUUUCUCAGGAAAUAUGUUCUGAAUUUUUGUAUUGCAUAUGUGGCAUUGCAAGUGUUAUUCCCUAUAUUCUGAAGUCUGAACCUACCUUCAUGUUUUAAGGGAUGUUGAUCACCAAUGGGAUGGCGAGCUCUUUGCCACAGCUGGUGCUCAAGUAGAUAUUUGGAAUCACAAUAGGUCUCAGCCUAUUAACAGUUUUGAAUGGGGAACAGACACAGUUAUAUCUGUUCGAUUUAAUCCGGGGGAACCAAACCUCUUAGCAACAUCAGCAAGGUAUGCCUGGAUAAAUGACAUAUAGUUCAAUCAUCAUGUGCUUGAUCAGAUAGAUACACAUGUGAUAUAGAUAAUGUUCUCAUUCUGUACUUAUUUUCCAUAUUUGCAAGGAUUGAUCACAAAAAUUUCAUGAAUGUUUUUCCCAUUUGCUAUUCUGGGCCAUAGUCAAUUAUAGCGUAUACUUUAAUUAUUUGGUGCAAUCAUGGUCAAGCCAUCUAAAUCCAUUUUAUAUGUGUAAAAUUUGGGGCCACUUCAGAAAUUUGAAAAGUGAGAACCUUGUCUCGUCUCAAUUGUGGCAACUGUCUCAGGUAGUAUACCUGUAGGAAUAGUGAUCCAAUUAGAAUUCAUAUGCUGUUUUAGAAGUUUUGGAUAUAAAUAAAAGAAGGAUGAUUGCUAAGAACAUAUUCCUUCCUAAAGAGGACUUUUGAUCCAUGUUCAACUUUUGGAUAAGGGCAUGCUACAGUGCAGCUAGAGUUGAUGAAAAUUAGCUUCCUCAAAUGAUGCCAGGGAAACAGAGGAUUGUAUUCUUAAAAUUGUCAAGGUUCUUUUUGUUUCUUCCCUGAUCUUGUUUCUAGGAUCUGAUAUGUUUUGUUCUUCCAUCUUUUGUCCUUUAAGAUUGAUUUAAGAGACUAAGCAACUAGGUAACAUACUAACGUAUUCAAAUAACCCCUUAUAGGUGCAGCAGUUCUCAAUACAUAUGACGUGUCACCUUUAUUUAGUUGCUUUAUUAGUCAUGAGUAAUUGACUUUGAAUGCCGCAAUGCAUUCACAAUUUGGCUUUCUUAUUUCAGCCAGUGGGUUACUGUUUGAUCAAGGGGAUUUUUCAGGAUACUUUGUUUCCGGUGUUCAUAGUUGAAUGCGACAUCCUGAUACAUAUGCAUUUGGUAACAUAGCUAUAUUCAUUGUUAAAUGAAUAAAUAAAUAGGCAUAUAUGCUGCAUAUGCUGCCUGUACCCUUUCCUUCUCCUUAUGACUAUAUUCUUUUUAAGGUGUUAUAGGUGUCAGACCCUUAAAUGGAUGUAAGAUGCAUGCAGCAUGUUGAUUUAUUUGUGAUUUCUGUAGAAUGCUUACCUUCUUGUGGAAUUCAUAAUCAAUCUAUUAUAUUAUUAUACUCUAUGGUGAAUAUUGAAUGUGAAUAUACAUAUGGAUAUGCGCACACAUUCACGAGAGAGAGAGAGAGAGAGA